Molecule: ribosomal RNA, 1224 nt
Filed under: Salmonella enterica subsp. enterica
Lineage: Bacteria; Pseudomonadati; Pseudomonadota; Gammaproteobacteria; Enterobacterales; Enterobacteriaceae
Description: partial 23S ribosomal RNA
Rfam family: Bacterial large subunit ribosomal RNA
Source: RNAcentral
GGCGAUGAAGGACGUGCUAAUCUGCGAUAAGCGCCGGUAAGGUGAUAUGAACCGUUAUAACCGGCGAUUUCCGAAUGGGGAAACCCAGUGUGACUCGUCACACUAUCAUUAACUGAAUCCAUAGGUUAAUGAGGCGAACCGGGGGAACUGAAACAUCUAAGUACCCCGAGGAAAAGAAAUCAACCGAGAUUCCCCCAGUAGCGGCGAGCGAACGGGGAGGAGCCCAGAGCCUGAAUCAGCAUGUGUGUUAGUGGAAGCGUCUGGAAAGGCGCGCGAUACAGGGUGACAGCCCCGUACACAAAAGCGCAUGUGCUGUGAGCUCGAUGAGUAGGGCGGGACACGUGGUAUCCUGUCUGAAUAUGGGGGGACCAUCCUCCAAGGCUAAAUACUCCUGACUGACCGAUAGUGAACCAGUACCGUGAGGGAAAGGCGAAAAGAACCCCGGCGAGGGGAGUGAAAAAGAACCUGAAACCGUGUACGUACAAGCAGUGGGAGCACCCUUCGGGGUGUGACUGCGUACCUUUUGUAUAAUGGGUCAGCGACUUAUAUUCUGUAGCAAGGUUAACCGAAUAGGGGAGCCGGAGGGAAACCGAGUCUUAAUUGGGCGUUAAGUUGCAGGGUAUAGACCCGAAACCCGGUGAUCUAGCCAUGGGCAGGUUGAAGGUUGGGUAACACUAACUGGAGGACCGAACCGACUAAUGUUGAAAAAUUAGCGGAUGACCUGUGGCUGGGGGUGAAAGGCCAAUCAAACCGGGAGAUAGCUGGUUCUCCCCGAAAGCUAUUUAGGUAGCGCCUCGUGAAUUCAUCUCCGGGGGUAGAGCACUGUUUCGGCUAGGGGGCCAUCCCGGCUUACCAACCCGAUGCAAACUGCGAAUACCGGAGAAUGUUAUCACGGGAGACACACGGCGGGUGCUAACGUCCGUCGUGAAGAGGGAAACAACCCAGACCGCCAGCUAAGGUCCCAAAGUCAUGGUUAAGUGGGAAACGAUGUGGGAAGGCCCAGACAGCCAGGAUGUUGGCUUAGAAGCAGCCAUCAUUUAAAGAAAGCGUAAUAGCUCACUGGUCGAGUCGGCCUGCGCGGAAGAUGUAACGGGGCUAAACCAUGCACCGAAGCUGCGGCAGCGAACGUAUCACCCAAGACAACUUUGCGGAGUUGACGAUUGACGGAGCGAAGCGACGUCAAAGCGUUCAUUAAAGUCGAGUUGGCUUAGGGAUACGUUCGUU